AUCUGGCUGACCAGUCCCAAAUGGGACGAAGCGUGUGUUCUGGAU
Molecule: non-coding RNA, 45 nt
Organism: Schistosoma haematobium
Lineage: Eukaryota; Metazoa; Platyhelminthes; Trematoda; Strigeidida; Schistosomatidae
Source: Rfam